Molecule: non-coding RNA, 599 nt
Organism: Meleagris gallopavo (turkey)
Lineage: Eukaryota; Metazoa; Chordata; Aves; Galliformes; Phasianidae
Source: RefSeq, a predicted model, not a curated record
UUAUCAUCUUAUCUUUUUAGUGGCAGGUCGGUAAUGGACAAAGUUCAACUGCCAUUUCAACAGCAAGCAGCAUAACUUCUACUCCAUCCAGCCCCACAGUCACUAGUGCUGCAGGAUGUGAUGGGAAGACAUACGGUCCUCCUGUGAUAGAUUUGUGUUCUCCAGUGGGUAGUUCCUACAAUCUACCAUCUCUUCCUGAUAUUGAUUGUUCGGGAAACAUCACACUGGAUACUGUUGCGAGGAAAGAUGAUGUCACUGCAGAGCAGAAUCACCCAAAACCCCCUUCAAACAGAACUGUGCAGUCACCAAAUUCAUCGGUACCAUCACCAGGCAUUUCAGGAGGUGUCAGUGUAACAAGCAUACACCCUCCAAUACGUUCACCCAGUGCCUCCAGUGUUGGGAGCAGAGAGAGUUCUAGCUCUUCCAGCCGGCCGCCGGGAGCUGAUUCUACACACAAAGUCCCAGUUGUUAUGUUGGAGCCUAUCAGAAUUAAACAGGAGUCAAGUACACCAAAUGAGAACUUUGAUUUCCCAAUUGUUAUUGUGAAGCAAGAAGCAGAGGAGGAAUCCCGGCCUCGAAAUGUAAUAAAAAUCUCCUUU